AAGGAUUCAGUGAAAAAGAGAGUACUUCAUUUUAAUUAACAAAGCGAUUUCGGGAGGGUGAGAGCCGAAAAUAAUGAAAUGAAGGAAGCGCACUUUGGAGAAUCUGCAGAUGCAGACGGCAAUCUACCGUUAUCAGAUUAAGUGGGUUCAUAUUUUUAUGGACAAGUAGAGUGGUACCGCGGGAAAAUCUCGUCUCUGGU
RNAcentral lists this non-coding RNA (200 nucleotides) under Enterococcus sp. RNAcentral's name for it is "T-box sequence". It matches the Rfam family "T-box leader". Rfam says of the family: Uncharged tRNA acts as the effector for transcription antitermination of genes in the T-box leader family. T-boxes are found upstream of many aminoacyl-tRNA synthetase genes and some amino acid biosynthetic genes usually in Gram-positive bacteria. The anticodon of a specific tRNA base pairs to a specifier sequence within the T-box motif, and the NCCA acceptor tail of the tRNA base pairs to a conserved bulge in the T-box antiterminator hairpin. The record is from RNAcentral. Lineage: Bacteria; Bacillati; Bacillota; Bacilli; Lactobacillales; Enterococcaceae.